Molecule: RNA transcript, 2623 nt
Organism: Nematostella vectensis (starlet sea anemone)
Lineage: Eukaryota; Metazoa; Cnidaria; Anthozoa; Actiniaria; Edwardsiidae
Gene name: lysyl oxidase homolog 2A-like
Exons: 13
Source: RefSeq, a predicted model, not a curated record
AUCACAGAGAUGCUUUGUUUUGGUGCGGCGGCGGAAGCAACAUGCCAGCGGUAUCUCGGAGUACUUGAUUACUCCAUCAAGAAGUCGCCCUGAAGAAUUCCGGUAAAAUCGGACGAAAGUUCGAUUGACCGGGGCCAGAUUGGACAAAAGUGAUCAAGGCUCGAAGCACCACGCUGCGGUGCUCGCCUUUAGCUGACUGUGAUGGCGUUCGUGCGGGUUGUGUUGCUUAUUCUAGCGGUGUUGCCAACGUAUGGCUUGGCGAGGUGGAUGCAAGUUCGUCUCAAGAAUGGAAAGGAGCCUCACAUGGGCAUGGUAGAGUUGCGUUACCGCAACAAGUGGGGAGAGAUAUGUGACCAGGACUGGGAUAUCAAGGGCGCUCGAGUGGUAUGCCGUACGCUCGGUUACCCUGACGCAAUAAGAUACACGUUUGGUGAUUGGUUUGGGCGGGGCACCGGGUUCUUCUGGUUGAACAAGGUGCGGUGCGAUGGUACGGAGGAUUCCCUGGAACUGUGUGCAAGGAGCAAUUGGGGUGAUGUCAAGUGCCGGUCAAGCCAGGUGGCCGGGGUGGUAUGCAGGCGCAGAAAUGACGAUAUAACGUUCGUGCCUUUGCCGAUUCAGCAGGGUCAGCAGGUUAGCGACUUGCCAGUGCGGCUUCUAGGCUCGGUUGCCAAUGGAUACAAGACCGAUGGCCUCUUACAAAUUAGGUAUAAAAACCGCUGGGGCUUCGUGUGUUCGUCCAAGUGGAGCGAAGGGAAUUCUCGGGUUGCCUGUGGCAUGCUUGGCUUCAAGGAUACCGUUCACAAGGUGUCAUCCAUUCCUAAACAAAGGAGCCGCGUGGGCUUGUUUCUGUUGAGUGACGUUGAGUGUGAAGGGGAAGAGUCGUCGCUUGUUGAGUGUCCGCACUCAAACUGGGGACCUGUUUCGUGCAAGCGAGGUGCACCUGUCUACCUCUCGUGCGAGUCUUCCAGCCCUCGACAGCCGGUAGCAGUGCGCCUGCGCAGUGGGGUUCAGACGUGGGAGGGCCGCGUGGAAGUGAGGCGAUCCUAUGGGGAUGACAUUGAGCGCUGGGGCUCAGUGUGUGACGAUGGCUUCGGAUUGGUGGAAGGUAACGUGGUGUGUCGGUCCCUCGGGUACGGGACCGCGAGGCGGGUCUUCCAUGAUGCUUGGUAUGGACAGAGUACUGGGAAGGUCUAUAUGGACGAUGUUGAGUGCAGUGGAAAGGAAAAAGAUAUCUCAGAAUGUCAGCACAAAAUGGAGUGGCAAGGAAACUGUAAUCAUUUUGAAGACGUCUCCCUUAUUUGCAACGCUCCUAAGUUAUUCGGCCAUAAGAUGCGCCUGGCUGGUGGAUACAACCGCUUUGAAGGCCGCGUGGAGAUCUUUAUGAACAAUCGGUGGGGCACUGUGUGCGGUGACACGUGGGAGAUGGACGAGGCGACUGUCGUUUGUCGGCAACAAGGUGUUGGCUUCGCUAAAGAGGCUGUGACGUCAAAUAUUUUUGGUGUUACUUACCUGCAGAUGAGGAUGUAUGACGUCAAAUGCAAGGGGAAUGAAAGAUCUCUCUAUCACUGUGGUUACUCUGAAGUAUCCAAGUGCAAGACUGGCAGAACAGCUGGCGUCAUAUGCAGUCAAAAACUCCCUGAUCUGGUCGUCAAUGUUGAAGAGCUUGGCAAUAACGAGCACUACCGUGUGGAGCAAAUGACCUUGGGUAGCCUGACGUGUGCGUAUGAAGAGAACUGCCUAUCUUCUUCCUCGAACCUACUCUGGGAGCAUAACAAGGAUAGCUACAGGACGUUGUUACGCUUCACAAGUCGAAUCGAGAACCGUGGACUUACAGACUUUAGACCUCACAUCGAUAAGUCACAAUGGGAUUGGCACGAGUGUCACAAGCAUUUUCACUCCAUGGAGGUCUUCAGUACAUAUGAUCUAAUAGGAAAGGAAGGUGAAAAGAUCGCAGAGGGCCACAAGGCGAGUUUCUGUCUGGAAGACACGGUGUGUGACGCAGGGAUCCCGAAGAAGUGGAACUGCACGGGCGGGGCAGACCAGGGCGUGUCUCCUAAUUGUUACGAUGUCUACAAGUGGAAUAUUGACUGUCAGUGGAUCGACGUAACAGAUAUGGCAUGGAAAUUCGGGAAAUUCUAUCUUCGGAUAGUCGUCAACCCUAACCGCACAGUCGCUGAGACUGAUUAUGAUAAUAACAUUGGGAUCUGUGAGGUCGACUACUAUAACCCCGUCGUGAUAUUUUCCAAGUGUCGUCUAGAUCACUGUGAGAGCAAGAUUCGUACAAAGGGCGGUAACGGCUAUGGCGAGUGCUGUGUUUUCCCCUUCAGUGUCAACGGGACAGAGUAUACUUCCUGUGCUACCGGACGACCUGAGCAGCCGGACAGACUCUGGUGUCCGACAACAAGAGACUACGAGAGCGAUAAUAAAUGGGGAUAUUGCAUCCUAUAGGUAAGAGAGACGUACAAAUGGGGAUACUGGAUCCUAUAGGUAAGAGUGACGUAAAAUGGGGAUAUUGCAUCCUAUAGAAGGCGAUGAACAGAGAAGAACGAAAACAUCACGGGACCUAUAUUUCAAUGUAAUGUAGAGUUAUCAAUAAAACCAGCUAAACUAAGGAUUCCUGGAA